This is a long non-coding RNA of Passer domesticus (house sparrow), 1925 nucleotides long. RefSeq lists it as uncharacterized. The record is from RefSeq and is a predicted model, not a curated record. The transcript is spliced from 2 exons. Lineage: Eukaryota; Metazoa; Chordata; Aves; Passeriformes; Passeridae.
GUCUGCCUCCAUGGAGCUGCCAUUAGCUAAUGGCUCUCCAUUGCAGCUGCUGCAGUUUUACAAAGAGAAAAACUUUCCCUGGGAGCCCAGCAGGGACCCCGCAGUCAGGGGAGAUGAAGGGCAUUUCCCCAGGGCUUCCCAGUGCAAUCAAUGCCUGCUAAUCUUUAGAAAAUUACACUAACAAGCUCCAGGCAGCAACUGCAGGAGCCCUGCACAGCAGCCCCUGAAAUCACGCACAGCCCAUUAAUGGAUCAGGGCUUUAAUGAACUGGAAAAUCUCUCCUCAGCAGAGGCCAGAGGAUGCUUGAAGGCUCCCACCUCUCCUGAGCUGCUCUGAAGGCAGGCAGGAAACUCUGACAGCAAAAAUGCUGCUUUUGGGGCUGGCCAGGCUGGGGAGCAGCCCCAGGACCUCACAGGGGUGUGGGCUCUGAGGUCCAAGUGAUGAUCAGCAGCUCCUGAAAAGUGCUGAGCUCAGAAACCCCCAAAUGGCAGCUCAAGGAAAGCUGCUGGUGCUGUGCUCUAGGGGUGUUCAGUGGAUUUUCAGGAAAUACCCCUUUUUCUUCUCUUUCAAACCAUCAGGCAGAUCCAGGAGGUGCAGCUGGCCAAAAUAAAGUUGCUGGAGAGGCAGAUUACUUCAGAAUGAAUGAAAUCUUGCUACAACCUGCAUUAAAAACAAAAAAAAGGCUUUUUUUUUUUUCCUCCUAUCAGUCAUAAAAUCUAGUUAUUUCCUGAGCAAUGUUGCAAUUUGCCUGAUGCUUAUGAGAUAUAUUGCCUGCUUUCUACUCUGUUUCCUACUGGGCAGUCUGCAAGGUUGCCUAAUCUCUAAAAGAAAUAAGCAUCUGUUUCCUUCAUGGUCCAUGCCUGAUUUAAGAUAUUUUAACUUGUAAUCCAAGAGGAAUGAACAUUGGAUCACUCUUUAAAAGAAGGAGUCUCCAAAUUUUUGUCCUGUCUCUGGGCAAGUUUGGUGCAUUUCCACUGCUCCAUAUCUCUGAUGUGUCUCUGCAGAAUCUGCACCCAAGGAACUUCUCCCUUCAAAGCUCUCCCAGCUGGCAUAUCCUGCUCCCCCUGAUACAUCAGCAGCCUGAGCAUCCCAGGAGCCAUGAAAAUAAAAGUAAGAAAGCUGAUUUUUCUCCAGGAGAGAGGAGAAAGAGUGGCUAAAAUGCAGAAGGAAAAAGCAAAUUGUUGGGAAAAGGACAGAGAGCAGGAGGGAAAGUCUUGGAGUUGAUCACAUCACCCUGUGGGGGCAGGGGAGAUAUUUUCUCUCACUAUAUUUUCUCUUCCAUAUUUUGAAGCAGCUCCCUGGAAGUGCUGGCACUGACAGGAAUGGCCCAUCAGAUUUGUGCAGAGAUAAGAGAGUGACUCCCAGGUCACCUCACCAAGAAAACCACGUGAACCUGCAUCUUUAUAUCUGCUUUUAGUUUUUCAGUAAUUAAAAAAUUUUUUAAAAAUUUUUAAAAAAUUAUAAAGCCAACCCAAACCAUCUUUAUGCUUGUUCUUUGGAGUCAAGUAUUGGACUUUGAAUUCCUAGGGGUCAGCUCCUCCAAAACAAAAGGCAUUUGGUGUCUCCACUGCCCUGAGAUGGAGUUUCAGUUCCAUUUCCAUCCUCAGAGGUUGGGCUUUGCUUCGUCUCUAUCAGCAGACACUUGAAAGGCUCAAACAAAGCAACUUUCCCAUUCAGAAAAAUACAACCAGACAUGAUCCUUAAGGAUUUCUGUUUUCCAGAGCUCCUUGACCCCCUGGCCUCACUUCUCAGGUUUUAAUGAAAAAUCUUUUGACAAGUAUUUUUCAUAUUUCUGAUUCUGACGUGGGGAAAGGAUAACCAUUACCUUAAAUUUGGCUCCAAAUGAAAGACCUUGCAGAAUCAGCAUUUUUCAAAUGCAGCCUUUGAACAACUGGAAUGUUUCCUUCCAUAAAAUCCUCAAUGAA